CCUACGGGAGGCAGCAGUGGGGGAUAUUGCACAAUGGGGGGAACCCUGAUGCAGCGACGCCGCGUGGGUGAAGGAGUGCUUCGGCAUGUAAAGCCCUAUCGGCAGGGAAGAAGCAAGACGGUACCUGACUAAGAAGCCACGGCUAACUACGUGCCAGCAGCCGCGGUACUACGUAGUGGGCAAGCGUUGUCCGGAUUCACUGGGUGUAAAGGGAGCGCAGACGGCCAUGCAAGCCAGGUGUGAAAGCCCGGGGCCCAACCCCGGGACUGCCCUUGAAACUGGAUGGCUUGAGUGCGGUAGGGGCAGGCGGAAUUCCUGGUGUAGCGGUGAAAUGCGUAGAUAUCAGGAGGAACACCGGCGGCGAAGGCGGCCUGCUGGGCCGCGACUGACGUUGAGGCUCGAAAGCGUGGGGAGCGAACAGGAUUAGAUACCCCUGUAGUC
RNAcentral lists this ribosomal RNA (441 nucleotides) under uncultured bacterium. RNAcentral's name for it is "partial 16S ribosomal RNA". It matches the Rfam family "Bacterial small subunit ribosomal RNA", at positions 338 to 795 of the family's 1533-position model. The record is from RNAcentral.